RNAcentral lists this ribosomal RNA (775 nucleotides) under uncultured Neocallimastigales. Its description in RNAcentral is "partial large subunit ribosomal RNA". It matches the Rfam family "Eukaryotic large subunit ribosomal RNA", at positions 23 to 616 of the family's 3401-position model. Lineage: Eukaryota; Fungi; Neocallimastigomycota; Neocallimastigomycetes; Neocallimastigales. The record is from RNAcentral.
AGAGAGAGACAUGCGCGCAUAUCAAUAAGCGGAGGAAAAGAAACUAACAAGGAUUCCCCUAGUAACGGCGAGUGAAGCGGGAAGAGCUCAAAUUUGAAAUCUUAAAGGGUUUCCCUUUACGAAUUGUAGUUUAAAGAAGUGUUUUCUGUUGAGGUUUUGGUAAAAGUUCUUUGGAAUAGGACAUCAUAGAGGGUGAGAAUCCCGUAUUUGACCUUUACUUUCAACUUUGUGAUACACUUUCAAAGAGUCGGAUUGUUUGGGAAUGCAGUCCAAAAUGGGUGGUAAAUUUCAUCUAAAGCUAAAUAUUGGCGAGAGACCGAUAGCGAACAAGUACCGUGAGGGAAAGAUGAAAAGAACUUUGAAAAGAGAGGUUAAACAGUACGUGAAAUUGUCAAAAGGGAAGCGUUUGACACCAGUGUUGUUUUUCUGAAAAUCAAUUAAAGAACUGUUUAUGCUAAGCUGUUUAGACUUUAUCAGCUAACUGUUUAGUUUUGAGCUUUUCUUUAAUGCACUUCUCAGUUAACAAGUCAACAUCAAUUUCUUUUGCUGUAAAAAAGCUUGAGGAAGGUGGCUUGAGAUUCGUCUUAAGUGUUUAUAGCCUCUUGCCUAUGCAGUCGGAGAGAUUGAGGUCUGCAGCGUAGAUCCUUCGGGGCUAAAUGCAUUUGUGCUAAGUUAUAGCAUUUUAUAGGCAACUUGUUGACUAUGAUUUGUCUUGUAGCUUACUCGCUUAUGUUAUUUUACCUACGCUUAGGAUGUUGAGCGCAUGUCUCUCUCU